RNAcentral lists this ribosomal RNA (253 nucleotides) under uncultured bacterium. RNAcentral describes it as "partial 16S ribosomal RNA". It matches the Rfam family "Bacterial small subunit ribosomal RNA", at positions 524 to 776 of the family's 1533-position model. The record is from RNAcentral.
UACAGAGGGUGCGAGCGUUAAUCGGAAUUACUGGGCGUAAAGGGUGCGUAGGUGGUUAGAUAAGUUAAGUGUGAAAGUCCCGGGCUUAACCUGGGGAUUGCGCCUAAUACUGUCUAGCUAGAGUAUUGUAGAGGAAAGUGGAAUUUCCGGUGUAGCGGUGAAAUGCGUAGAUAUCGGAAGGAAUAUCGGUGGCGAAGGCGACUUUCUGGACAAAUACUGACACUGAGGCACGAAAGCAUGGGGAGCAAACAGG